Molecule: non-coding RNA, 694 nt
Organism: Anolis sagrei ordinatus
Lineage: Eukaryota; Metazoa; Chordata; Lepidosauria; Squamata; Anolidae
Source: RefSeq, a predicted model, not a curated record
GGGGAGAAGGAGGAGGAACAUCAGAAGAGGAAGAGGAGGAGGCCACCAUCGCUCCCUUCGGUGAAUUGCUGUGUAUCCGGGGGUUUCCCUAUUCCUGGCAGAUUAACAUCAUUUGUGGGAUAAUGGAGGAGAGAGCAGUGCUUGGAGGAGAACACCAAACGGAGAAGGAAGAUAUGGGGGAAGAGAAGGAGGAAGACCUAGAGGAAGUAUUGGUUCUUAUUCCUUCUCUGCUGGACAACUGGCCCCUGCAAAGGCCUCUGGGAUUAACAUCUUUUGUGGGAUAAUGGAGGAGAGGGAAGAAAGGCAGCAAAAAGUGAUGGAGGAGGCGCUGGAAUUAGAUCAACAUCUUUUGUGAUGUAUGGAGGAGAGAUGAAGAACUGAAGAAGGAACAUAUGAGACAGCUAGAGAGCGUGUGGCGGAAAGAGCCCAGCAAGCCAAAUCGAACACACCUACGCCUUUAUCUAAGGGCGCAUGGCGCGGCAAUAGAGGCCAUGCAAAAUGCUUUCUAUUCGGCCAAUAUUGGUCCUUAUUCCUUCUCUGCUGGACAACUGGCCCCUGCAAAGGCCUCUGGGGUGGGAAUGCCAGAACCAGGGUUCCAGAGUGGGGCUAUGGGGCCACCAUCGCUCCCUUCGGUGAAUGGCUGUGUAACCAGGAAUUUCUCUUUUCCUGACAGAUUAACAUCUUUUGUGAUAUA